Frieseomelitta varia is the source of this 636-nucleotide long non-coding RNA. RefSeq lists it as uncharacterized. The record is from RefSeq and is a predicted model, not a curated record. NCBI's taxonomy places the organism in Eukaryota, Metazoa, Arthropoda, Insecta, Hymenoptera, Apidae. The transcript is spliced from 4 exons.
UUAUUACGUUUAUAGUAUAUUCUGUCUAGAUUUUCAGGACGAAAUCCCAUGGACAUAGCUUUGCCAUGAUUAUGAACUUUGUUGUCAUUAUACAUAUUACAGUGUUCGUUAUUAAUGCAUACUAUACAAUACAAUGCAUAUUCGACGAAAGUCAGAAAUUCUUUUAUAUUCCGUAUACUGUGGAAUGGUAUAAUUUAUCAUUAUCAAUACAGAAAUUGCUACUUUUUAUUAUGCAAGGAAACCAUCACUCAGCAGUAUUAAAUUUCUAUGGUAUAUGGGUACCUACGUUCAAAAAUUUGAGCACGCAAUUCAAAUUAUGUUGGUCCUUCUUUAUGCUAUUGUAUUCCACUCAGAAAUAAUGACAUCGAUUAUAGUACAUUAGCGGACCAUACGAAAACAUGAUUCACCAGUUAAUAUACGUUAUUAUUGCCACUAAAUGACGAUACUUUAUCUUAACAUCGCACGCAUUUGGGAUGUGUUACAAAUAAUGCACCGGAAUAAAAGUAUACCUGGAGUUCAUUCAUUAUGAAUUCAUGAUUUCCCAACCAUUAUGAGUUCACAUGACUAAAGAUAAGUGAUGGUUUUCUUAGGUGCCAGAAAGGAUAAAUUGUAUUUUGAAUGAAACUUAAAUCCAAC